GACGAACGCUGGCGGCGUGCUUAACACAUGCAAGUCGAACGGAAAGGCCCUGCUUUUGUGGGGUUCUCGAGUGGCGAACGGGUGAGUAACACGUGUGUAACCUGCCCUUGACUUUGGGAUAACUUCAGGAAACUGGGGCUAAUACCGGAUAGGAGCUCCUGCUGCAUGGUGGGGGUUGGAAAGUUUCGGCGGUUGUGGAUGGACUCGCGGCUUAUCAGCUUGCUGGUGGGGUAGUGGCUUACCCAGGCUUUGACGGGUACCCGGCCUGAGAGGGUGACCGGGCACAAUGGUACUGAGAGAGGGAGCAGACGGGAACAUGAGGCAGUAGGGGGAAACAUUGUACAAUGGGCCGGAGUGUGAGACGAAGGCGUCGGGGUCGUGAAGACGGUCUGUUGGGUAAGAACCGCUGUCGGUUGAGACCAAGCGGUAGUGACGGUAAUGGAAAAAGAAGCACCGGCUAACUACGUG
RNAcentral lists this ribosomal RNA (468 nucleotides) under uncultured bacterium. RNAcentral's name for it is "partial 16S ribosomal RNA". It matches the Rfam family "Bacterial small subunit ribosomal RNA", at positions 28 to 507 of the family's 1533-position model. The record is from RNAcentral.